GACGAACGCUGGCGGCGUGCUUAACACAUGCAAGUCGAACGGUGAAGCGCCUUCCUUUUUGGUUGGUGUGGAUGAGUGGCGAACGGGUGAGUAACACGUGAGUAACCUGCCCCCUUCUUCUGGAUAACCGCAUGAAAGUGUGGCUAAUACGGGAUAUUCUGGGUCUGUCGCAUGAUGGGUCUGGGAAAGAUAUUGUUUCGGUGGGGGAUGGGCUCGCGGCCUAUCAGCUUGUUGGUGGGGUGAUGGCCUACCAAGGCGGUGACGGGUAGCCGGCCUGAGAGGGUGGACGGCCACACUGGGACGGAGACACGGCCCAGACUCCUGCGGGAGGCAGCAGUGGGGAAUAUUGCACAAUGGGCGCAAGCCUGAUGCAGCGACGCCGCGUGAGGGAUGGAGGCCUUCGGGUUGUGAACCUCUUUCGCCAGUGAAGCAGGCCUGCCUCGUUUGUGGGUGGGUUGACGGUAGCUGGAUAAGAAGCGCCGGCUAACUACGUG
RNAcentral lists this ribosomal RNA (494 nucleotides) under uncultured bacterium. RNAcentral describes it as "partial 16S ribosomal RNA". It matches the Rfam family "Bacterial small subunit ribosomal RNA", at positions 28 to 507 of the family's 1533-position model. The record is from RNAcentral.